This 442-nucleotide ribosomal RNA is filed under the name uncultured bacterium. RNAcentral's name for it is "partial 16S ribosomal RNA". It matches the Rfam family "Bacterial small subunit ribosomal RNA", at positions 338 to 795 of the family's 1533-position model. The record is from RNAcentral.
CCUACGGGAGGCAGCAGUGGGGAAUAUUGGGCAAUGGGCGCAAGCCUGACCCAGCAAAGCCGCGUGAAGGAAGAAGGCUUUCGGGUUGUAAACUUCUUUUAAGAGGGAAGAGCAGAAGACGGUACCUCUUGAAUAAGCCACGGCUAACUACGUGCCAGCAGCCGCGGUAAUACGGAGGUGGCAAGCGUUGUCCGGAUUUACUGGGUGUAAAGGGCGUGUAGCCGGGCUGACAAGUCAGAUGUGAAAUUCCGGGGCGCAACCCCGGACGUGCAGUUGAAACUGUUGGUCUUGAGUGUCGGAGAGGCAGGCGGAAUUCGUGGUGUAGCGGUGAAAUGCGUAGAUAUUAGGAAGAACACCGGUGGCGAAGGCGGCCUGCUGGACGACAACUGACGGUGAGGCGCGAAAGCGUGGGGAGCGAACAGGAUUAGAUACCCUGGUAGUC